RNAcentral lists this ribosomal RNA (492 nucleotides) under uncultured bacterium. RNAcentral describes it as "partial 16S ribosomal RNA". It matches the Rfam family "Bacterial small subunit ribosomal RNA", at positions 29 to 507 of the family's 1533-position model. The record is from RNAcentral.
AGUGAACGCUGGCGGUAGGCCUAACACAUGCAAGUCGAACGGCAGCACAGUAAGAGCUUGCUCUUACGGGUGGCGAGUGGCGGACGGGUGAGGAAUACAUCGGAAUCUACUUUUUCGUGGGGGAUAACGUAGGGAAACUUACGCUAAUACCGCAUACGACCUACGGUUGAAAGCAGGGGAUCUUCGGACCUUGCGCGAUUGAAUGAGCCGAUGCCGGAUUAGCUAGUUGGCGGGGUAAAGGCCCACCAAGGCGACGAUCCGUAGCUGGUCUGAGAGGCUGAUCAGCCACACUGGAACUGAGACACGGUCCAGACUCCUACGGGAGGCACCAGUGGGGAAUAUUGGGCAAUGGGCGCAAGCCUGAUCCAGCCACACCGCGUGGGUGAAGAAGGCCUUCGGGUUGUAAAGCCCUUUUGUUGGGAAAGAAAAGCAGCAGGUUAAUACCCCGCUGUUCUGACGGUACCCAAAGACUAAGCACCGGCUAACUUCGUG